Molecule: non-coding RNA, 72 nt
Organism: Sus scrofa (pig)
Lineage: Eukaryota; Metazoa; Chordata; Mammalia; Artiodactyla; Suidae
Source: Rfam
UCCCAGGUGGUCUAAUAGUUAGGAUUUGGCACUUUCACCACUGUGGCCUGGAUUCAAUCCCCAGUCUGGGAA